This is a long non-coding RNA of Pipistrellus kuhlii (Kuhl's pipistrelle), 560 nucleotides long. RefSeq lists it as uncharacterized. The transcript is spliced from 3 exons. NCBI's taxonomy places the organism in Eukaryota, Metazoa, Chordata, Mammalia, Chiroptera, Vespertilionidae. The record is from RefSeq and is a predicted model, not a curated record.
UGAAGAUGCUCAUUAUCAAAUACUUCUGGUGCUAUUAAAGCAUUUCACACUCUACCAGGAGAAUAAAGCUACUGAAAGGCUUUGGGCUAGCAAAUCGGGUUGUUGCUAAGGGAAACGGCUGCAUUUUGAAGCAAUGAUGGGAAUACUUUUGGAAUCAUCCCUCUAUUGUUACCCGCCCAGACCAAUGUAAACUGGAGCUGAAAAGAGAGUCAGCCUAAGAAGGCAAAUGGCAAAGUGGUGAUUCACGUAGUCCUUGCAUGGCCAAGGGGCCAACAGACAGUAAAGCAACCUUCGAAAAAAGCCAUGCACUUCCCUCUGUGCUUAAUCACAUUAACAAAGUGGUCACCUCAAAGACCCAAAUAGUAUCUUUGUUAUUUUUCAGUAUCGCCUUCUUAAUAAAGAGAUAUGAAAAACAGAAAUAACUAUCAAUAAUAUCAAUAGAAUGCUAAAAAUGCUGCAGGUACACAUAUCAGGUUUGAUUGAUCUCUCCUCCCUCAGAUCUUUACUCAACUAUCACCUUGCCAGGGAGCCUUCCCUGGCUGCCUUGUCUAAACCUGCAC